GAUGAACGCUGGCGGCGUGCUUAACACAUGCAAGUCGAACGGGAAACAUUUUAUUGAAGCUUCGGCAGAUUUAGAUUGUUUCUAGUGGCGGACGGGUGAGUAACGCGUGGGUAACCUGCCUUAUACCGGGGGAUAACAGCCAGAAAUGACUGCUAAUACCGCAUAAGCGCACAGAACCGCAUGGUUCCGUGUGAAAAACUCCGGUGGUAUAAGAUGGACCCGCGUUGGAUUAGCUAGUUGGCAGGGCAGCGGCCUACCAAGGCGACGAUCCAUAGCCGGCCUGAGAGGGUGAACGGCCACAUUGGGACUGAGACACGGCCCAGACUCCUACGGGAGGCAGCAGUGGGGAAUAUUGCACAAUGGGGGAAACCCUGAUGCAGCGACGCCGCGUGAAGGAAGAAGUAUCUCGGUAUGUAAACUUCUAUCAGCAGGGAAGAUAAUGACGGUACCUGACUAAGAAGCCC
This 464-nucleotide ribosomal RNA is filed under the name uncultured bacterium. RNAcentral's name for it is "bacterial SSU rRNA". It matches the Rfam family "Bacterial small subunit ribosomal RNA", at positions 28 to 493 of the family's 1533-position model. The record is from RNAcentral.